GGGGCUUCUUACCAUUCCAAACAAAUUUUUUCACUAUCCUAUCAAACCAUGUAAAGUAAGUCAUGGGAAUCUCCAGAGGAAUAGAAUGAAUUAAAUAAUUUAGUUUAGGGACACAGUUCAUUUUAACCACAUUAACCUUACCAACCAUUGAUAACUUUAGUGUUGCCCAUCUACUGGUAUCACAAUCAAUUUUAUUUAGUAAUGGAUCGAAAUUUACCUUAACUAGGUCUUUUAGCUGUGGUGGAAAGAGUAUGCCCAAGUAUCUUAUACCCUGCCUGGGCCAUUGAAAUGCGCCUGGUUGGAAGGCUGGGGGUGGGCAGUAAGCUGUUAAAGGGAGCGCCUCUGAUUUAGACCAAUUCACCCUAUAUCCUGAAAACUUUGAAAAUGAAUUAAUUAUUCUCAAAAGAGCAGGCACUGACCGACCUGGUUCAGAGGCAAAUAAUAAAAUAUCGUCUGCAAAAAGCAGAAGUUUAUGUACUUCGCCCCCUGCCCUUACUCCUGGAAAGUCAGUAGCCCUUCUUAUAGCAGCUGCCAAAGGCUCUAAUGCCAAGCAAAAUAACAAGGGUGAUAGGGGUGAGCCUUGUCUGGUUCCUCUCCCUAGGGUGAAAUAGUCUGAUAUGAGUCCAUUGGUUUGAACCGCAGCUUCUGGUUGAUUGUAAAGUAACUGAAUCCAUUUGAUAAACUUACUACCAAACCCAUAUAUAUCCAGUAUUUUUAACAAAUAGCCCCAUUCAACCAUAUCAAAAGCCUUUUCGGCGUCUAAAGAAAUGGCUGCCACAGGGGAUUGCUCAUCUGACACAGCCCACAUUAUAUCAAUAAAGCGCCUUACAUUAUCUGUAGAACUGCGGCCAUUAAUAAACCCAACUUGGUCAGGGUGAAUCAAAGACGUUAUGACUUUGUUCAAACGGUUAGCUAAGAUCUUUGAUAUAAUUUUUACAUCCAACUGGAUCAAAGAGAUUGGUCUGAAAUUUUUACAUUCUGUGGGGUCUCUCCCUUUUUUAGGAACCAAGGUAAUGAGUGCCUGUCUCAUAGUUUGAGGUAAUAUCCCUUUUUCCAGUGAUUCUGCAUAUAGAUCUAGCAGCAGUGGGGCUAACUCCGCUGCAAAGCUCUUAAAAAACUCUGCAGUAUAGCCAUCGGGACCAGGCGAUUUUCCUGCAGGCAGUGCUUUUAUCACUUCUAUAAUCUCUUCUACCGUAAUAUCUUCAUCUAGAAUUUGUUUCUGCCUUUCAGACAAUUUAGGCAGUUCUAAUGGGUCAAGAAAAGCAAGCAUUUCUUCCUCUGUUGAGGUAGAAGUAGAACUGUAAAGGCCCAUAUAAAAUUCCUUAAAACACUUGUUAAUAUCUCCAGUUGAUGUUAAGGUAUCUCCACUUAACGCCCUGAUCGCUGGAAUAGUGGAGACCUGCUCUCUUUCUUUAAUUAACCUGGCAAGCAGCUUCCCUGUUUUGUCCCCUGACUCAAAAAAGGUUUGCCUUGCCUUAAAUAAUAGAAAUUCAAUUUUUUUAGACAAGAUAGUAUUGUACUGGUACUUUAAUUGUGUUAACUCCUUAAGAAUAUUGUUAGACAUCCGUCUCUUUAGCUCUGCCUCUAAGCAUUUAAUUUUCCUUUCCAAUUCCAGAAGUUCUUUAGCUUUUGUUUUCUUGAUGGAUGAAGUAACUGAAAUAAUGCGACCUCUGAUGACAGCUUUCAGAGCCUCCCAGGCCACACCCAUAGAUGUACCUGUGGACCAGUUAGUCGCAAUAUAUAAAUCUAGCUCUGCCUUCAUCCAUAUCAUAUUGUCAGGAUCUUGUAAGAUGGAGGAGUUAAGCCGCCAUCUAGUAGAACGCUGUCUUUCACAAUAGGGCUGGAUUUCUAAACAAACAGAUGCAUGAUCGGAAAUGAUUAUAUUUCCUAUUGAGCAGGCAAGCACUGAAGGUACCAGAGGCUUUGAUAAUAAAAAAUAAUCUAUCCUUGAGUAUAUCUUAUGGACUGGGGAAAAGAAAGUGUAGUCCCUCCCACUGGGAUUUAAGAUCCUCCAAAUGUCCACCAACCCCAAAGCUUUACACAUUCGUUGCAGAGUAAGGCUUGCUCGUGGAGACCUACCCACUGCACCCCCACUAUGGUCUAACACAGGGUCCAUCAGUAAGUUGAAGUCUCCACCCAGUACAAUGUUGUGGUUACCCAUAGCAUUAAACCUCCCCUCCAGAUCUAGAAAAAAUAAAGGAUCAUCUCCAUUAGGAGCAUAUAUAUUUGCCAGGAUAACAGUCUGCCCCUGAAUUUCUGCCAAUACAAUAAUGAUUCUUCCUGAAUUAUCUUUUGUUUGUUGGAUACAUUUAAAUUGUAAAUUUUUAUUAAUAAGUAUGGCAACUCCCCUACUAUUGCUAGUCCCUUCACUAUAAAAAACGUGACCAACCCAACCACUACAGAGUUUGAUAGACUCUGUUGGCGAAAGAUGAGUUUCCUGCAAGAAUACCACAUCACAUUUAUCUUUCCUAAUGCUUGACAUUACUUUUUUCCUCUUCACUGGAUUCCCUAACCCUUUAACAUUCCAUGUAAAGAGACGCAUAUUACUCGUCUUAGACAUAUUUAGCACUAACAAAAAAUGAACUUGCACAUGGCUUACCACCAAGAUCUUGAAACAAAACACUGCGUUGGUGACUUAACAAAAAACAACCCCAAAAAACCCUGACACAUAGAAUAUGCAUUAGAACCCGAACUCUGCAUAUCCUGUUACCCAUUACGUUAACCUCGCUGUGGUCCAUGACUCCUCUACGAGUCUCCCUCUUAUGGGCCCCGCUGGCUCCACUGUUAGCAUUCAUUCAACCAGAACCAUAGUGACGUCGCGUCCUUUUAGUAAUAUUAAACUGAGCAAAAUCGUCAAACCUCGUCAGUCAGCACACAAGUAUAAUGGCAGUCUAAGUUAUGAGUCCAUUACUCUCGCCUUCAUCUCCCUAAAUACUCACGAUCAUUACAUGCUGUCAAUAAAAGUCAUGGCUUUCUUCGGGCAAGAAAAUGACUUCUCGCCGUCCUCGCACCUGACCUUCAAUGUAGCGGGAUACACCAGUCGAAAGCUCACCCCCCGGUCAUGCAGCUUCUUCUUACAGUCUUUAAACUUAUCCCUUUUCAGCAUUGUAGACCGGGAGAAGUCCGGAAAGAGCAUGAUGUUGCUGUUGACCCAGGUCAGCUUCCCCUUGUUCCUGGCCGCUCGUAGCACUAAAUCCCUGUCGGAUGAUCGAAGAAACUUCGCCAGAAUUGGACGUGGCUUCCCUCCUAUCGGCGGGCGUUGGGAGGGUACUCUAUGUGCUCGUUCAAUCUCCACCGUCUCCUCGAUGCUAAGCAACUCCGGUAUCAGAUCCUCCACAAAUUUGGCCACCUCGGUCCCUUCCGCUCCUUCUGGGAAUCCAAGAAAACGAACAUUGUUGCGUCUUGAUCGAUUUUCCAUAUCUUCCAAUUUCUCCCAAAUGGCCUCAACAUCCUUCUUGUUAGCGAGAGGAUUAGCUUGCAAGUCUUUAUCCACUGAUUCGAGGUAUUCUACCCGCCUCUCCAUUUCAUCAAUUCGUGAGAUUAAAGUGGAGACUUUAGCUUCGGUUGACGCAGUGGUCCGGCGAAUUUCUGCCAGUCCCUCUAUUUCGGUGGAGAUCUUUAUCAAAAUUGCGUUAAUAUUGCUAAUAUCCUGGCUUAUAUCCUGAGAGACGUGGCCACUGGAUGUAGCAUUAGCACCGCCAUCUUUAUCGCCCCCAUUCUGCGAACGCAAAAGCCUUUUAAUGUCGCCACCGGCGGGCGGUUUCGAGCCUCUUGACAUCUCCAAGAACUUCUAAUGCUAUUCUCACAAGCCGACUAUUUCUUUCUGGUUUUAAACCAACCUUAAAAUGAUAAUUACAGCAGAGCCUCGCGGAGCACAGUUCUAGGCAGCCUUUCCUCGCAUUGCGUCACGUGACCCUCUUUGAAGGCAAGCAUAAAGUGCCUGCACAAUUAGACUAAACUGUCAAGUCCUAGUAAGUAAUGUUUGUUCAUCUGUCUUUGAGUAAAGUGCUGAACUCCUUGUAACCUUGUGUUAAGUAAUUGCUGAACACUAUAAAAGGCAAAAUUUGUUUUUAGUUGAAUGCAAUGGAACUUAGUAGAGCUAAAAACUUUGGUCAAUAGCUGCAUGUGAAGUAGCAAGAGACUACUGAAUAAAUAAUACUCAACUGCAGCAUCUCUUUCUGCAUCUUCUUCUUACCGGGGUCUCAGUAAAUGGCUGUUUAACAUUAGUCUGGUUCUGCUCAAAGUUCUGGCUGUUAAAAGUAAGGACUGUUAUCUUGCUCUCUUACUUGCUAAUGGUGGACUUCGUAAAUAUUACCAAAGAUUUGUUUGGAUUUGUACAUUUCGGAAUUUAACAUGAAUUGGGACCAUAUUAAUCAAGAUUUAUGGACUGAUUGACCAAUUUGCCCAACUAAUUGUUGUUUUGCUCUUACAAGCAGCAUGUUGCAGUAAAAUGUAAACUAUAUCAAGAGAAUGACCAAACCGAUGCUUAUUUUAAUCUUAUUUUAAAUCAUGGCGAUGUCAGUUAUAGACACAGAAAUAGCAAACACAGACUUAUGUUCUUUUAUAUCUUUAGAAACAAGUAUUAAAAUAACCAAUUUCUUGUGAUUAUUAUCGUUAAAAGUUAAAACAAUUUUAAAGGGACAGUAUUUGAAAUUCUUUUCUCAGAUCCAAAAUUUUGUAGAACAUUGAAGAAGAUAAGUUUUAGAGGGUUUUACUAGCUUUUUCUAUUGUGAAUAUCAAUUAAAAAUUAUAUUCACUUUAAAUCUGUACUCCCACUAUUGUUUUCCAUGACCCAACAUCUGCAAAGAGUACAUCUAUAUUAUGUCAAUACCUUCUGGUCACUGAAUGCGCUACUCAAUGUUACUAUUGUAAUUUUCCACUAAUAGACUAAUUAUCACCCAAUUACAACAUUUUUUUGUAUUUUACUGAAUUAAUGACAGUUAUUUUUUAGCCUGUAAGGGGGUAUUCUACAAAAAUUGGCACUUAAUCACUUCUUAGGGAUUGAAGCUUUUCUCUGGUUCGCUUCUGGAAAUGCAAUCAUAUCUGCAACAACAGUUUAGUUAGCUUAAACAUCAAGAUGACCCUUCAGUCCUCAUGGUGCAACCACACAACUGUACAAGUUACAUCAAACUGUAACUAGUGUUAUAUCUUAAUGUAGACCUAUGGGUAUGAACUAAGGCUGAAAUGAUUGAUCUUUAAAGCCACACUUGUCAAUCUUUUUUAUUACUUAUUUUGCAUAGGAAGCGAAUUAUGAAAAAAAAAAAAAAAGUGCCUCAGUUCUUAAAGUGAUUAAUAAAAUUAUAUUGGUCCCCCGAGCUUUAAAAAGUCAUUUGAGUGUUGAUCACAAUAUGAUAUCAGUGAAUGAAGUUUAAAUUAUUUUUAUGAGUGCUGGUAAAGUAUUCGUUAAAGUCUAUAUCCCCUGUUAUAAAAAAUUAUUGCAAUGCUUGAUACAGUUUUUCUGCUGCUGCUAUCAAAUAUUGUUGGAGUCAGGAAUUCAUUGGGGUCACUCCAUACAAUGACAGAUUGGAUUAAAUGCAGGACAUUGAGAUGUCUUCCCAGGCUGCCAGCAUACAGCAGAUUUAUAUAAGCAUUUUAAUUAAGUUUUCAAUUACUAUUUCUUCGGCUACAACCUCCCCUAUAGCAUCCCUUCCUUUCUGAGCCUUGCCGUCAGCCAAAUUAUUGUGUCCUGUGCUGGGCAGCUGAGCAAAAUGCUGCAGGAUAUAGGGCUAAGUCCCCAUUCUCUCCUUUUCUCUCCCCCCCUUCCUCACUUUAUCCACAGUAAUCCCCAAGAGCCCUGGAUGAUAAUGGGUAAUGGAUCCGGGGGACCCAUCCCUUCCAGAAACACACACUCUCACACCCUUACACUCAGCGGUAAUGCUGAAGGUGCAAGUUCCUAUGUCUAACAUUCUGCGUCCCUGGACCUUGUAUCCAUGGCGAUUACCCCAUCUUCCCAAUCUGAAUCCAUACGUUCCAUAAUUCGUUAUCUGUAUUUCUACUGGGGCAGGUUUCAUAUUCAGGUGUUGGUGGAAAGUAACAGCAGAAAUGCAGAGUUUUCAUGGAAGCAAAAAUAAUGAGCAGCUCUCUCUCCAGAAGACUUCAGAGUUACUUGGUGAGAUGUAUCCUUUGGGGUGCCAUCAAGACUUUGUAAGACUAUCUAUUUUUGUCUUCGAUGACAGAAGUAUUACAUACGCCUGUGCAUUGAAAUUAACAAUAUGACUUUUAGUUUCCCUGCUUACAUUUAUAUUUUGAAAUAUUUGGGUGUUUUCAAAACAAAACUGAAGUUUUCGUUUGCAUUUCUGGAUUUAAUUACUUUUGGUGAGUGUCUAUAGCUGACUCAAUUUCUACAGCAGCAACAGUAUUGUGAAACCAAACUACAGUUGCAGUAUUGUGAAACUGUGGUGCACUGAGAUAUGCAGUCGUGCUUCCUUUCAUAAUAAAACGUCUGCAUUACGACUGAUACGGUUUCCUGUUCGUGGAGUAUCCUGUUCAUGGACUUCAGCUCAGCGUUUAACACCAUUGUUUCCAUUUUCAUCCAUCACAAGCUGGCUGACCUCACAGUGCCAGCCCCCACCUGUUAGUGAAUCACCAGCUUCCUGACAGAUAGGAGGCAGCAAGUGGGGUUUAGGAAUAUCAUAUCCAGCACCCGGACUUUCAGCACUGGUGCCCCCCAGGGGUGUGUUCUCUCCCUGCUGAUCUUCUCCCUCUACACCAACGACUGCACCUCAGGGGACCCAUCUGUCGGUCUCCUGAAGUUUGCGGAUGACAACACAGUGUCAUCAGUCUCAUCCAAGAUGGUGAUGAGUCUGCAUACAGACGGGAGGUGGAUCAACUGGUCCUCUGAUGCAGUCAGAACCAUCUGGAGCUGAACCUGCUCAAGACUGUGAAGCUGACAGUGGACUUACACAGGAGCCCUCCUGCACUCGCUCCCCUCACUAUUCUUAAUGACACAGCUUUCCCUGGAUUCACAGUCUCCAGGGACCUAAAGCUGACCUCUCACAUAGAUUCAAUUAAAAGAAAAAAAAAAGCCCAGCAGAGGUUGUACUCCCCGCGACAGCUCGCUUAGUUCAACCUACCUCAGAAGCUGCAGGUUCAUCUCUACGCCAUCAUCAUCCAGUCGGUUCUCCGCACAUCCAUCACUGUUUGGUUUGGGUCAGGCACCAAGCAGGACAGGAACAGACUUCAAGAGACUGUCAACUAACAGACUAUCAAGACUGCAGAAAAAAAAAAACAUUGGCUCUCUUGAAGUAUCUAUUAUGCACACAGUACAGGAAGCAAUUAUCUGAGCCAGCAGCACAAACAGGUAUGCAACAAAAUAGCCUUCUGGAUGUAAAGUACUCAAUUAUUGCAUACUGUCUGUUACUGUUGGCGUGUCCUGAUUUAAAUCUCAUUUUCUUCUGAACUCUGGGGCUUCAUUUAUAAAGACCUUCAUCAAGACUCAGAACUCAGUGUAGCUGUUGCCAGACUAUUUUACCUGUGUAUUUGAUUUGAUUUAACCAGGAUAACUGAUUAAAGAACUUUUGUAACAAGAGUGUUCUGGCCAAGACAGCUGCUGUACAUUCAAACAAAGUUACAGACAUACCAAUGUUUAAUAAUCACAGUACACAUGUCAGCAUUUCUCUAAUAAUACAGCAGAUGUCAUACUGUUUACCAUCGCUUAAAGAGUCUGUAAUAUUCCCAGAAUGAGAUCAUGAAAGGUGAAAAUGAAAAUAUAUUACAACAUAUAUGACAAUGAACAUCACAUGAUCCACAGUCAAAUGUCAGCGCACGUCUUACUGGAAGAGUGUUUUAGUCCAAGCUUAACUCUCUCCCACAGCAAGAAAUGUACAAAGCUUUUUUCUCUCUUCUGUAAAUUUCUCUGGUUGAGGAUUUAGGGUCCAGUGGUUGGAAUAUGGAUGAAAGGCUGUACUGUGUUGCUGCCUUGACCCAGCCUGGUGGUCAAUAUCCUGACCGAGACAAAUCAAACACCCCCCGAUGUCCAGUUGCCCGAGGCCAUUCAUCGCAUUUCAAAGUGCUUGGAUCUCAAACCUUUGCAAAGCCACGAGCAACUCCUUUUAACUGAUGCCCAGCAGCAACAGCACACAGAGCUGCAGAAUAAUUCAGCUCAUCCGCAGUAGGAGGCCAUACUCUAUCACGUAUCACAUUCAAAAGCUCAGAACCUGUUGAAAGACGCAUUUUCUUAGGUAGCCGUCUACCUUUGUUCUCUGCUUCAGAGCAAGCUAGCAGAAGCCUACUUUGUUAAACAAGGAACAAAAUCACUGACCUCUCGUUUUCUUGUGUCACAUCAGGAUGGGAUCAACACAUGCAUGAGGUCCGAGCUGGAUACUCUCAGGGGCUAAACUAGCAAUGUGCAACACACUGGAGCUAAAUCUAUCUCCUGCAAAAUUUGUUUGAAUAAAAUUGUAAUUCUAAAAUAGUAGAGGCUAAACCUUAACACAGGGCCAUGAUCCAUUUAUUUGUCUUUUUAAUUAAUCCGCAGCUUUUCCUGUUUUGGAUUGAGGAUCUACUAUAUCUUAAUACAAACAAGGCUUAAGUGUGAUACUGUAAAUAAUGGACGGUCGGCUGUUUAAACAAAAUAAACCCUUUGAUUAUACCUUUAUGUGAUUGUGAUUGCAUGUUAUUGAAUGUGCAAUGACACAAAUGAAUAUUAACCAGAUACAACAUUGUGAGCACAGGUCUGGUCUUAUCAUGUUUUUGGCCUCAAGGCAGUUGUCCUUGAGUCAUUUAAUUGGUAAUAUCUAGUUCAGAGAUUCAAUUAAAAUAAAUGAUGUGCACUGCAUUUUAAUUCACACAGCACUAGAGGGAUUCAAUGUCAGACUCUGCUCUGAAUCAGUGUUUAGGCUUUAAUGAUUUUAAGAGUCUGUGUAACUACACAUCAAAGAAAUAAUUCAACAUUUUGGGAAAAUGUUCUUUUUUGCUUUGCUUCAAUACAGUGUAAAAUACAACUGGAGGCUGUUGGCGAAAGCAGCUGGUAAAAAAGAUGAAUACAUAUUCAAGCGAUAAAAACAGUAUAUCUAGAUCCCUUAAGCUCAGCAGUGUCAACAUUGUUUAAUGUUUAAUAGGAACAUUGUGUAAAAGUUUUUGACAUGCAACUCCUCCCAAAACUGCACAAGUUCAUAUCAAUUCAACGUUGAUAUGCAGAGGUCACUUCUGGAGAUGGGGAUUUAUGGUGGUGAAGGUAGCAAUGGUCUUUAACGCUCUUAUCAGGAAUGUUGCAAUUAUGAUAGUUGACAAUAAUAAUAAUAAUAAUGAAAAGAACUCUUCUUGACUUUUGACAGCCAAAUAUUUUAUUCAGGGUAGAUAUUUCAUGUAAAAAAAUGAGCUAUUGACUCUUUAGCUUGACUGACACCUACCCCCUUGUGCCAUUAAAAAUUACAACAAAUGAAUCAUUGGUCUUGUUACUGAUGGUCUUGUUUGCUUACCAAUUUCAUCAAAAAAUGCAUCAAUUUGGGUUUCAGUCUAUUUAAUAAACAUGUUUUUAAAAAAUCCCAAUCUAUUGCUGUGGUGCAAGAAUUUCCAAUGCAGUGAAUAAAUUGAGUUGCACAUUCACUUUCUGUUUAAAUAAGAGCAUAAUAGUAAAUGGAUAUGAUCAACACCUCUAUUAUUAAAGGUGGGGUAGGCAGGAUCUGAGGAAGUGUCAGUUUUUAGGAGAAAUUUUGAAUGUAAACACUACCCCUCCCAACCAGUUUUCCCCUCAGCUCCUCCUCUCCCGCCAUCUCUGCUCCAAAAAUCCCCGCCCACAUACAGACACUCCUGCUCGCCUGCAAUUUUUCAAUUUAAUUCAGAUAUAAUGCAGAUAAAUAUGUCAGAUAAUUACAAAUGGGGCCCAGUCAACGUUAAAGUAAAAAGCACUGGUGCUACUGUAGAUUCCAACAGACUAUCAGCUAACACAAUGUUUGCAGGAUUUCUACAGCCAAGAUAAAGUGACAUACUCCAGUAUUUCUCCAGUAUUUACUUUGUUUUCUUGUUUGUGUUGGCAGUCAUGGCCAAAGGAGGAUUUAGACAACUUUCCAUACUUUCUGGUCGGUUUCUACUGUCUGAUAUUGUAGCACGCUAACUGUGUUUGGGCUCAUGAACAACACAAGGAAGCAGCGUCUGCCUCACAACCAAUCAGCACUAAGGAGCAGCGUCCGCCUCACAACCAAUCAGGUUGGGGGAGGAGGAGAAUGGCUUUGUUUACAGUCAGAAAGAGCGGAGCGCUCUAAAAAAUUUAAAAUGUUUACUACACAAAGAUAACAAAACACAGCGAUAUAUUACCAAAUGUCAUCAAUAAUUUAUAGCUACUGGCUGAUAUUAAAAGCUUUUUAGUAUGUAUGCCACAAAGAAGAUUCUUCUUUAACCAAAUUUUGCCUACCCCACCUUUAACCUCAAUCCC
This 10372-nucleotide long non-coding RNA is filed under the name Xyrichtys novacula (pearly razorfish). The record is from RNAcentral. Lineage: Eukaryota; Metazoa; Chordata; Actinopteri; Labriformes; Labridae.